GACAGAGGUGCCGAGCGUUAGGCGGAAUCACUGGGCUUAAAGCGUGUGUAGGCGGGCCGUUGAGUAUCUUGUGAAAUCCCCCGGCUCAACCGGGGAAUGGCUGGAUAUACUGGCGGUCUUGAGCCAUCCAGGGGCAGUCGGAACAGACGGUGGAGCGGUGAAAUGCGUAGAUAUCGUCUGGAACGCCGAAGGUGAAAACAGACUGCUGGGGAUGAGCUGACGCUGAGACACGAAAGCCAGGGGAGCGAACGGG
RNAcentral lists this ribosomal RNA (253 nucleotides) under uncultured bacterium. Its description in RNAcentral is "partial 16S ribosomal RNA". It matches the Rfam family "Bacterial small subunit ribosomal RNA", at positions 524 to 776 of the family's 1533-position model. The record is from RNAcentral.